Molecule: ribosomal RNA, 460 nt
Filed under: uncultured bacterium
Lineage: Bacteria
Description: partial 16S ribosomal RNA
Rfam family: Bacterial small subunit ribosomal RNA
Source: RNAcentral
CCUACGGGAGGCAGCAGUGAGGAAUAUUGGACAAUGGACGAGAGUCUGAACCAGCGAAGCAGCGUGAAGGAUGACUGCCCUCUGGGUUGUAAACUUCUUUUAUAUGGGAAUAAAAUAUUCCACGUGUGGGAUUUUGUAUGUACCAUAUGAAUACGGAUCGGCUAACUCCGUGCCAGCAGCCGCGGUAAUACGGAGGAUCCGAGCGUUAUCCGGAUUUAUUGGGUUGAAAGGGAGCGUAGGUGGAUUGUUAAGUCAGUUGUGAAAGUUUGGGGCUCAACCGUAAAAUUGCAGUUGAAACUGGCAGUCGUGAGUACAGUAGAGGUGGGCGGAAUUCGUGGUGUAGCGGUGAAAUGCUUAGAUAUCACGAAGAACACCGAUUGCGAAGGCAGUUCACUGGACUGCAACUGACACUGAGGCUCGAAAGUGUGGGUAUCAAACAGGAUUAGAUACCCUAGUAGUC